CGGCCGCACAGAUUCCCCGCCUGAUACCGUCCCAGGAUCCCAGGGGAAACCUGACGGCCAGGGCCCCUCGUGCCAGCUGCCGGGAGGCGGGAGGGAGUGCCCUGAAACUCUAAUCUCAUUGCCUGGCCAGAAAAGGAAGUAAUCCCUAGUGUCAGCAGAUUCAGCGGUACUGGUAUAUAAUAGGUAUACAGUUUAUUUUUAAUUAUUCAAUUAAUUCUUUUUGGAUGACUCUGAUGAUGUUCUAACUUCUCUUAAAAACAUGUUUGAAAAGA
Molecule: small RNA, 272 nt
Filed under: Pan troglodytes (chimpanzee)
Lineage: Eukaryota; Metazoa; Chordata; Mammalia; Primates; Hominidae
Description: processed transcript
Source: RNAcentral